Molecule: unclassified non-coding RNA, 253 nt
Filed under: uncultured Parcubacteria group bacterium
Lineage: Bacteria
Description: contains 16S-23S intergenic spacer region
Rfam family: Bacterial small subunit ribosomal RNA
Source: RNAcentral
UACGAGAGGCCCGAGCGUUGUCCGGAGUUACUGGGCGUAAAGGGUGCGUAGGGGGUUGCGUUAGUCGGUGUUUAAAUUCUUGGGCCUAACCUAAGACAUGGCAUCGAAACGGCGCAACUCGAGGGUGCGAGAGGCUCGUGGAACUCAUGGUGGAGGGGUGAAAUCCGUUGAUAUCAUGGGGAACACCAAAGGCGAAGGCAACGAGCUGGCGCAUACCUGACCCUGAGGCACGAAAGCGUGGGGAUCAAAAAGG